AUGGGUAGCGGGAAGAAGAAGGCUCAGAUGUUUGUAAAACUUGUGUCUGCUGCCGGAACUGGAUUCUUCUAUGUAAAGAGGAAACCUAGAACGUUUACAGAGAAGCUUGAGUUUCCUUUUUCUGUUUUACUCAAUGUGAAACUUCUUUCAUCAACAACUCCUAAUAAGCCAAUAUUCAGGGAACAUGAAAAUAUCAUUGCCUCAAGUAUUGCUGUUUUUUUUCCUGGCACACAAAUUGUUUCUCCCAUGAAAACAACAAAUUAG
Molecule: non-coding RNA, 264 nt
Organism: Vicia faba (fava bean)
Lineage: Eukaryota; Viridiplantae; Streptophyta; Magnoliopsida; Fabales; Fabaceae
Source: the annotation of a GenBank genome assembly